Molecule: unclassified non-coding RNA, 225 nt
Filed under: uncultured Ceratobasidium
Lineage: Eukaryota; Fungi; Basidiomycota; Agaricomycetes; Cantharellales; Ceratobasidiaceae
Description: partial internal transcribed spacer 2
Source: RNAcentral
AAAUUCUCAAAGUAAAUCUUUUGUUAAUUCAAUGGACUUUGCUUUGGACUUGGAGGUCUGCAGAUUCACAGUCUGCUCCUCUUAAAUGCAUUAGCUGGAUCUCAGUGAGCUUGGUUCCACUCGGCGUGAUAAGUAUCACUCGCUGAGGACACCCGUAAAAAAGGUGGCCAGGAUUGCAGGUGAACCGCUUCUAAUGGUCUAUUGGUUUAGACAAUAAAUUUAACG